CGGAACGUACCAUUCAGUGGGGGAUAACGUAGCGAAAGUUACGCUAAUACCGCAUAUUCUGUGAGCAGGAAAGCAGGGGAUCGCAAGACCUUGCGCUGAUUGAGCGGCCGAUAUCAGAUUAGCUUGUUGGUGAGGUAAAAGCUCACCAAGGCGACGAUCUGUAGCGGGUCUGAGAGGAUGAUCCGCCACACUGGAACUGAGACACGGUCCAGACUCCUACGGGAGGCAGCAGUGGGGAAUUUUGGACGAUGGGGGCAACCCUGAUCCAGCCAUGCCGCGUGAGUGAAGAAGGCCUUCGGGUUGUAAAGCUCUUUCAGCCGGGAAGAAAACGCAUGGGUUAAUACCCUGUGUGGAUGACGGUACCGGAAUAAGAAGCACCGGCUAACUACGUGCCAGCAGCCGCGGUAAUACGUAGGGUGCGAGCGUUAAUCGGAAUUACUGGGCGUAAAGCGUGCGCAGGCGGUUUUGUAAGACAGGCGUGAAAUCCCCAGGCUUAACCUGGGAACUGCGUUUGUGACUGCAAGGCUAGAGUACGGCAGAGGGGGGUGGAAUUCCACGUGUAGCAGUGAAAUGCGUAGAGAUGUGGAGGAACACCAAUGGCGAAGGCAGCCCCCUGGGUCGAUACUGACGCUCAUGCACGAAAGCGUGGGUAGCAAACAGGAUUAGAUACCCUGGUAGUCCACGCCCUAAACGAUGUCAACUAGGUGUUGGGAGGGUAAAACCUUUUAGUACCGGAGCUAACGCGUGAAGUUGACCGCCUGGGGAGUACGGCCGCAAGGUUAAAACUCAAAGGAAUUGACGGGGACCCGCACAAGCGGUGGAUGAUGUGGAUUAAUUCGAUGCAACGCGAAAAACCUUACCUACCCUUGACAUGCCAAGAACUUUCCAGAGAUGGAUUGGUGCCCGAAAGGGAACUUGGACACAGGUGCUGCAUGGCUGUCGUCAGCUCGUGUCGUGAGAUGUUGGGUUAAGUCCCGCAACGAGCGCAACCCUAGUCGUUAAUUGCCAUCAUUUAGUUGGGCACUUUAACGAGACUGCCGGUGACAAACCGGAGGAAGGUGGGGAUGACGUCAAGUCCUCAUGGCCCUUAUGGGUAGGGCUUCACACGUCAUACAAUGGUCGGUACAAAGGGUCGCCAAGCCGCGAGGUGGAGCCAAUCCCAGAAAGCCGAUCGUAGUCCGGAUCGCAGUCUGCAACUCGACUGCGUGAAGUCGGAAUCGCUAGUAAUCGUGGAUCAGAAUGUCACGGUGAAUACGUUCCCGGGUCUUGUACACACCGCCCGUCACACCAUGGGAGCGGGUUCCGCCAGAAGUAGGCAGCCUAACCGCAAGGAGGGCGCUUACCACGG
This 1348-nucleotide ribosomal RNA is filed under the name metagenome. RNAcentral's name for it is "bacterial SSU rRNA". It matches the Rfam family "Bacterial small subunit ribosomal RNA", at positions 119 to 1462 of the family's 1533-position model. The record is from RNAcentral.